RNAcentral lists this ribosomal RNA (451 nucleotides) under uncultured bacterium. RNAcentral's name for it is "partial 16S ribosomal RNA". It matches the Rfam family "Bacterial small subunit ribosomal RNA", at positions 354 to 796 of the family's 1533-position model. The record is from RNAcentral.
GUGGGGAAUAUUGGACAAUGGGGGGAACCCUGAUCCAGCCAUGCCGCGUGUGUGAAGAAGGCCUUUUGGUUGUAAAGCACUUUAAGCGAGGAGGAGGCUACCGAGAUUAAUACUCUUGGAUAGUGGACGUUACUCGCAGAAUAAGCACCGGCUAACUCUGUGCCAGCAGCCGCGGUAAUACAGAGGGUGCAAGCGUUAAUCGGAUUUACUGGGCGUAAAGCGCGCGUAGGUGGCCAAUUAAGUCAAAUGUGAAAUCCCCGAGCUUAACUUGGGAAUUGCAUUCGAUACUGGUUGGCUAGAGUAUGGGAGAGGAUGGUAGAAUUCCAGGUGGAGCGGUGAAAUGCGUAGAGAUCUGGAGGAAUACCGAUGGCGAAGGCAGCCAUCUGGCCUAAUACUGACACUGAGGUGCGAAAGCAUGGGGAGCAAACAGGAUUAGAAACCCUAGUAGUCC